UACAGAGGUCCCAAGCGUUGUUCGGAUUCACUGGGCGUAAAGGGUGCGUAGGUGGUGAGGUAAGUCGGAUGUGAAAGCUCCGAGCUCAACUCGGAAAUGGCAUUGGAAACUACCUUGCUAGAGGGUUUGAGGGGGGACUGGAAUACUUGGUGUAGCAGUGAAAUGCGUAGAUAUCAAGUGGAACACCAGUGGCGAAGGCGAGUCCCUGGAAAACUCCUGACACUGAGGCACGAAAGCUAGGGGAGCAAACAGGA
This 254-nucleotide ribosomal RNA is filed under the name uncultured prokaryote. RNAcentral describes it as "partial 16S ribosomal RNA". It matches the Rfam family "Bacterial small subunit ribosomal RNA", at positions 524 to 777 of the family's 1533-position model. The record is from RNAcentral.